RNAcentral lists this transfer RNA (73 nucleotides) under Apaloderma vittatum (bar-tailed trogon). It matches the Rfam family "tRNA". From Rfam's summary of the family: Transfer RNA (tRNA) molecules are approximately 80 nucleotides in length. Their secondary structure includes four short double-helical elements and three loops (D, anti-codon, and T loops). Further hydrogen bonds mediate the characteristic L-shaped molecular structure. tRNAs have two regions of fundamental functional importance: the anti-codon, which is responsible for specific mRNA codon recognition, and the 3' end, to which the tRNAs corresponding amino acid is attached (by aminoacyl-tRNA synthetases). tRNAs cope with the degeneracy of the genetic code in two manners: having more than one tRNA (with a specific anti-codon) for a particular amino acid; and 'wobble' base-pairing, i.e. permitting non-standard base-pairing at the 3rd anti-codon position. Lineage: Eukaryota; Metazoa; Chordata; Aves; Trogoniformes; Trogonidae. The record is from Rfam by way of RNAcentral.
GGCCAGUUAGCUCAGUCGGUUAGAGCAUGGUGCUGAUAACGCCAAGGUUGUGGGCUUGAUCCCCGUUUGGUCC